GGAGGUGUAGCUCAGUGAUAGAGUGCAUACCUGGCAUGCAUAAUGUCCUGGGUUUGAUCCCCAGUAUCUCCA
RNAcentral lists this transfer RNA (72 nucleotides) under Camelus bactrianus (Bactrian camel). It matches the Rfam family "tRNA". From Rfam's summary of the family: Transfer RNA (tRNA) molecules are approximately 80 nucleotides in length. Their secondary structure includes four short double-helical elements and three loops (D, anti-codon, and T loops). RNAcentral also lists the same sequence under 2 other names. Lineage: Eukaryota; Metazoa; Chordata; Mammalia; Artiodactyla; Camelidae. The record is from Rfam by way of RNAcentral.